GAUGAACGCUGGCGGCGUGCCUAAUACAUGCAAGUCGAGCGAACAGACGAGGAGCUUGCUCCUCUGACGUUAGCGGCGGACGGGUGAGUAACACGUGGAUAACCUACCUAUAAGACUGGGAUAACUUCGGGAAACCGGAGCUAAUACCGGAUAAUAUAUUGAACCGUAUGGUUCAAUAGUGAAAGACGGUUUUGCUGUCACUUAUAGAUGGAUCCGCGCCGCAUUAGCUAGUUGGUAAGGUAACGGCUUACCAAGGCAACGAUGCGUAGCCGACCUGAGAGGGUGGUCGGCCACCCUGGAACUGAGACACGGUCCAGACUCCUACGGGAGGCAGCAGUAGGGAAUCUUCCGCAAUGGGCGAAAGCCUGACGGAGCAACGCCGCGUGAGUGAUGAAGGUCUUCGGAUCGUAAAACUCUGUUAUUAGGGAAGAACAAAUGUGUAAGUAACUAUGCACGUCUUGACGGUACCUAAUCAGAAAGCCACGGCUAACUACGUG
RNAcentral lists this ribosomal RNA (497 nucleotides) under uncultured bacterium. RNAcentral describes it as "partial 16S ribosomal RNA". It matches the Rfam family "Bacterial small subunit ribosomal RNA", at positions 28 to 507 of the family's 1533-position model. The record is from RNAcentral.